UUCCGGUUGAUCCCGCCAGAGGUUACUGCUAUCGGUGUUCGACUAAGCCAUGCUAGUUAAAUGUUCUUCGUGAACAUAGCAGACUGCUCAGUAACACGUGGACAAUCUGCCCUUGGGUUCAGCAUAACCCCGGGAAACUGGGGAUAAUUCUGAAUAGAUCACAUAUGCUGGAAUGCCUUGUGAUUUAAAGAUCCUUCGCCCAAGGAUGGGUCUGCGGCCUAUCAGGUUGUAGUGGGUCUAGAGUACCUAUUAGCCAACGACGGGUACGGGUUGUGAGAGCAAGAGCCCGGAGAUGGAUUCUGAGACAAAAAUCCAGGCCCUACGGGGCGCAGCAGGCGCGAAACCUUUACACUGCGGGAAACCGCGAUAAGGGGACACCGAGUGUCAGCAUACAAUGCUGGCUGUCCACAUGUGUAAAUAGUAUGUGAUAGCAAGGGCCGGGCAAGACCGGUGCCAGCCGCCGCGGUAACACCGGCGGCCCGAGUGGUAAUCCAUAUUAUUGGGUCUAAAGGGUCCGUAGCCGGUUUAAUCAGUCCUCCGGGAAAUCUGACAGCUCAACUGUUAGGCUUCCGGGGGAUACUGUUAGACUUGGGACCGGGAGAGGUAAGAGGUACUACAGGGGUAGGAGUGAAAUCUUGUAAUCCCUGUGGGACCACCAGUGGCAAAGGCGUCUUACCAGAACGGGUCCGACGGUGAGGGACGAAAGCUGGGGGCACGAACCGGAUUAGAUACCCGGGUAGUCCCAGCCGUAAACGAUGCUCGCUAGGUGUCUGGAAUGGUGCGCCCGUUUCAGGUGCCGCAGGGAAGCCGUGAAGCGAGCCACCUGGGAAGUACGGCCGCAAGGCUGAAACUUAAAGGAAUUGGCGGGGGAGCACUACAACGGGUGGAGCCUGCGGUUUAAUUGGACCCAACGCCGGACAACUCACCGGGGGCGACAGCAAUAUGUAGGUCAAGCUAAAGACUUUACCUGAAUCGCUGAGAGGAGGUGCAUGGCCGUCGUCAGUUCGUACUGUGAAGCAUCCUGUUAAGUCAGGCAACGAGCGAGACCCAA
Molecule: ribosomal RNA, 1051 nt
Filed under: uncultured Methanosarcinaceae archaeon
Lineage: Archaea; Methanobacteriati; Methanobacteriota; Methanomicrobia; Methanosarcinales; Methanosarcinaceae
Description: bacterial SSU rRNA
Rfam family: Archaeal small subunit ribosomal RNA
Source: RNAcentral